AUCCCAUUGGGCCCUGCAAACCUCUUAGACCACGUGGGCCCUGAAAAAGAGAGCAUUGCUCUCCCUUUUCUCCUUUAUGACCUGUGUGACCCUGCAUGAGUAAAAAUACACAGAAGUGAUUACAGACAUGAGUGUGGAGGGAAAUGUAUUGUGAGAGCGCAGCAUGAGGAGGACCAGAGGGACCAGGGGGGCAGAUUGCAGGACACUGCAGAGGACAAGACACAAAGCUCUGAGCACUCUACAGUCUACGCAGAGGACGCACAUUAAGUUUACUGUCAUUACGUUGCCCUCACAGAUGCAUUAUUGAAA
Long non-coding RNA from Thunnus maccoyii (southern bluefin tuna), 309 nucleotides. RefSeq lists it as uncharacterized. The transcript is spliced from 3 exons. The record is from RefSeq and is a predicted model, not a curated record. Lineage: Eukaryota; Metazoa; Chordata; Actinopteri; Scombriformes; Scombridae.